CCCUUAGAUGUCCUGGGCCGCACGCGCGCUACACUGAGUGUCUGAGAUACGAGUCUGCCUGGGCCGGCAAGGUCUAGGUAAUCGCUAAAAGACACAUCAUGCUUGGGAUAGAUUAUUGCAAAUAUUAAUCUUGAACGAGGAAUUCCUAGUAAGCGCAAGUCAACAGCUUGCGUUGAUUACGUCCCUGCCCUUUGUACACACCGCCCGUCGCUACUACUGAUUGGAUGUUUAAGCGAGGUUCUCGAACUGCUAGCGACUUAGCUUCGGUGAGGUCGCAGUGUGGGAAGUGAACCUAGCUUUGGUGUCUAGAGGAAGUAAAAGUCGUAACA
Molecule: ribosomal RNA, 329 nt
Filed under: uncultured eukaryote
Lineage: Eukaryota
Description: partial 18S ribosomal RNA
Rfam family: Eukaryotic small subunit ribosomal RNA
Source: RNAcentral